Molecule: transfer RNA, 69 nt
Filed under: Pedetontinus luanchuanensis
Lineage: Eukaryota; Metazoa; Arthropoda; Insecta; Archaeognatha; Machilidae
Description: tRNA-Trp
Source: RNAcentral
AAGGUUUUAAGUUAAUUAAAACUAAUAGCCUUCAAAGCUGUAAAUAAAAGAAUAAUCUUUUAAACUUUA